RNAcentral lists this ribosomal RNA (253 nucleotides) under uncultured bacterium. RNAcentral describes it as "partial 16S ribosomal RNA". It matches the Rfam family "Bacterial small subunit ribosomal RNA", at positions 524 to 776 of the family's 1533-position model. The record is from RNAcentral.
UACGAAGGGGGCUAGCGUUGCUCGGAAUCACUGGGCGUAAAGGGCGCGUAGGCGGCCAUUCAAGUCGGGGGUGAAAGCCUGUGGCUCAACCACAGAAUUGCCUUCGAUACUGUUUGGCUUGAGUAUGGUAGAGGUCAGUGGAACUGCGAGUGUAGAGGUGAAAUUCGUAGAUAUUCGCAAGAACACCAGUGGCGAAGGCGGCUGACUGGACCAUUACUGACGCUGAGGCGCGAAAGCGUGGGGAGCAAACAGG